This is a long non-coding RNA of Ailuropoda melanoleuca (giant panda), 2341 nucleotides long. RefSeq lists it as uncharacterized. The record is from RefSeq and is a predicted model, not a curated record. NCBI's taxonomy places the organism in Eukaryota, Metazoa, Chordata, Mammalia, Carnivora, Ursidae. The transcript has 2 exons.
AUAUGGGGAAAUACAAAGAACCAAGAGUAGUCAAGACUCUUUAAAAAAAAAAAAAAAAGUUGGGAGGACGUGGUUUAGCAGAUGUCAAGGUUCAUUCUAAAGCUGUGGUCAUUGGGACAGGCUGGUGCGGGCACAGCGCUCAGCACCGACUAACGAAAAGCCCGCAGACAGACUUGUGCUCCAUCUAAACACCCUUGUCUGAGGGCAGAGAAAGCUUGGCAGAGCCGAGGGGAAGGCAGGACCGUGACCCCUGGAGGUGAGCGAUGGGGGUACGGCCUGGUCGCUGGCCACCAGGCAGGGAGUUGCUUGUCCGAGCUUGGUGAUGUCACCCCCUGCCCCAGCCUCAACCUUCCCACCUGUGCAGUAAGCAGAUGGAACCAAAGCCAGAGGGACCCUUUCCGGCCGCAGUUUACCUGAUCCUGGGUGGAACGAGGUGGCCAUCGUCUGCCGGCAGAAAGCCAGCGCAUUAGGCAGGCGACACCACUGAUGGCCUCUUGAUGCUUCUUCCUUUUGUCCUUCUCAAGGUAUCCUCUAAACCGAGCGCUGAUGAGCACCCCGAGAGCGGCGGAGUCUCCAGAGCCCCGGGCAGCAGCCACAGGAGGCCAGAGAGACAGUCGGGCAUCUCGGCCAUCUCGUAUGACUACUCGGAAGAGGAGCUGAUGGCCAGCAUCGAGCAGGAGUAUUGUCGCUGAGGCCACUGGAGCAGCCCUGCAGGCCCCCGCCCCAGCCAGCCGAGGCUGCUCCUCUGCCCCCCACCCCGCCUGACCAGACUGGGGUUGCACCCCCGCCCCUGCCCAGGCUCUGGCUGGAGCUGAGCCCCCUCCAACAUGCAGUUACUCCUGGUUCUUUCAAAAGAUCCGGCUUCAAGCUUGCUGGCAAAGGGUGGUCAGCCAUGCAGACCCAGGUGCGAGGGCAGACACAGCUGCUGCCCCCCAGGUGUGUGUGCAGGCCUGGAGCCUGAAAUGCUUUCCCGGCCGGAUGGCCCUCUCUGCACCAGGACUGGGGACAGCUCACCAGUGAGUGUGGCCCAGACUGGCUCCCUUGGGGCCUCUAAGGCGUCCCCCAGCACCUGACGGCCCCCAGGCAGUGUGCUUUCCUGAGCUGGGGGGAGUCACCCUGGUUCUGCACCGCAGCUGCCUGGAGAUGUUGGUUCUGUGGGUCUGGGGCGGGGCCAGAGAGUCUGAAUUUCUAACCAGCCCCCAGGUGAGACCCGAGCUCCUGGACCCCAGCCUGGCUCCGGGUAGGAAGGCCUGAGUCUAAGCUUUAGAACUUAACUGACUCUUCCUUCCUGGCACUGGGGCUGCUCAGAGCCACAGCCCACCUGCCCCCCUGGAGAAAGGCCUACUCCCCUCCUCGGCAGGUGUGACAGAUGGAGAGCACAGGGCUGGGAGCUGGAGCCUCAGUUCUGAUCCUCGCCCUCACACUAACGUGCCUGUGUGCCUCGGUUUCCCUCUCUAGAAACGGAGUCCUGGAGGCUCUUCCAGGCAUUCCAGCCCCGACAGUCUGGGAUCAGGCAAUUCCAGGCUUCCUUGAUCUCUGCUGUUCUGCCAGCCCCCUGGGGCACAGAGCUGCCCCUGCAGCUUUGGGGGAGCACCCUGGCCCCACCUGGAGGAGGUCCUGAGGAACACCUGCUCUCACCAGCCCGAGGGGACUGGUUUACUCUCCUCCCAACUGGGAGAAGGUGCAACAUCACUGCAGUGAGGCCAGAAGAGUCCGAGAACUUUCCUAUCUGAUAGAUGAGAAAGCCAAUUUGCCAGGGAUGUCUGUGAAUCCAAGGCAGGGCCAGGGGAGCCACAGCCUGACCAGAAGGAGGGACUCCUGUGGGGGUGCAGGCAUGGCCAGCCUUGGAAGAAGGUUCUGGCUGGCAUGCGGUUUGGGGGCCAGGCGGCGGCCCCUCUGGAACAGCUGGGAGGGCAUGAGAACAAAGGGGCAUGUGGGUGUGACGUCAGCUUUUGCCAAAGCCAGAAUAGGUCUCAGCUUGCAAAUUAACCACCAACACAGCAGCCUUCCUGGCGUGGCCUGCAAGAUGCAAGAGCUUCUCAGACACAGACGCGGGGCCCCUUGGCACUGUCCCCAGACCCACAGGCCUGUUUCCGUCACAGGCAAACGGGUGUUUCCAUGAACUUUUAUUACUUGGCAAGACAGCGUUUGAUCAGAUGCUCCAUCGCUGGGAGAGUCUUACCGCCGAGCCAGAGGAUGGCGCGUGGAGCCUUCCAGCAUCUGCCCCUGAGGGACCCCCCCCCCGCAAAGCGAGAGCUACUCCCCAUCCAAGCCCAAAUCAUUUCUUUUGAUCAAAGAUGAAAACCAUUACUAUUUUAAUAAUACAAAUAUUUCUCUUAAA